UCCCCGUUACCGGGGCAGUCUGAAUAGAAAAAUCCAACUAUUCAUAAGGGUUGCGCUCGUUGAUGGACUUAACCAAACAUCUCACGACACGAGCUGACGACGGCCAUGCAUCACCUGUCACUUGGCUCCCAAGGGCACUCACUGCUUUCGCAGUAAUUCCAAGGAUGUCAAGCCCUGGUAAGGUUCUUCGCUUAUCAUCGAAUUAAAGAACAUCCUCCACCGCUUGUGCGGGUCCCCGUCAAUUCCUUUAUGUUUUAGCCUUGCGGCCGUACUCCACAGGCGGGAUACUUAACGCGUUAGCUUCGCUACGGAGGGGGUCGAUACCCCCCACAGCUAGUAUCCAUCGUUUACGGCGUGGACUAC
Molecule: unclassified non-coding RNA, 363 nt
Filed under: uncultured bacterium
Lineage: Bacteria
Description: contains 16S-23S intergenic spacer region
Source: RNAcentral